RNAcentral lists this ribosomal RNA (473 nucleotides) under uncultured bacterium. RNAcentral describes it as "bacterial SSU rRNA". It matches the Rfam family "Bacterial small subunit ribosomal RNA", at positions 335 to 802 of the family's 1533-position model. The record is from RNAcentral.
ACUCCUACGGGAGGCAGCAGUGGGGAAUAUUGCACAAUGGGGGAAACCCUGAUGCAGCCAUGCCGCGUGUGUGAAGAAGGCCUUGGGUUGUAAAGCACUUUCAGUAGGGAGGAAGGUAGUGUAGUUAACACCUGCAUUAUUUGACGUUACCUACAGAAGAAGCACCGGCUAACUCCGUGCCAGCAGCCGCGGUAAUACGGAGGGUGCGAGCGUUAAUCGGAAUUACUGGGCGUAAAGCGCAUGCAGGCGGCCUGUUAAGUCAGAUGUGAAAGCCCGGGGCUUAACCUCGGAAUUGCAUUUGAAACUGGCAGGCUAGAGUCUUGUAGAGGGGUUAGAAUUUCAGGUGUAGCGGUGAAAUGCGUAGAGAUCUGAAGGAAUACCAGUGGCGAACGGCGGCCCCCUGGACAAAGACUGACGCUCAGAUGCGAAAGCGUGGGAGCAAACAGGAUUAGAUACCCCGUGGUAGACUGUCA